This 253-nucleotide ribosomal RNA is filed under the name uncultured bacterium. Its description in RNAcentral is "partial 16S ribosomal RNA". It matches the Rfam family "Bacterial small subunit ribosomal RNA", at positions 524 to 776 of the family's 1533-position model. The record is from RNAcentral.
UACGGGGGGGGCAAGCGUUGUUCGGAAUUACUGGGCGUAAAGGGCUCGUAGGCGGCCAACUAAGUCAGACGUGAAAUCCCUCGGCUUAACCGGGGAACUGCAUCUGAUACUGGAUGGCUUGAGUUCGGGAGAGGGAUGUGGAAUUCCCGGUGUAGCGGUGAAAUGCGCAGAUAUCGGGAGGAACACCAAUGGCGAAGGCAGCUCGCUGGGACGUUACUGACGCUGAGACGCGAAAGCGUGGGGAGCAAACAGG